GUGGCACGUGUGGGAGUUGUGUGGCACAUUUGAGAGUUGUGUGGCACGUGUCACUACACAUGUGUGGGAGUGGUGUGUGUGGCACGUGUCACACGUACACACGUAUGGGACUGGUGCGUGCGCGUGACGCGUACACACGUGUGAAGGCCCUUUUGAGGCUAGAAUCGGGAAGGAACCGGCUAGAAUGGGGAGGGAACUGCUAGAACUGGGAGGAAACCGGAUAGAACACGUGCACGCGUGCAUGUGCGUGUCGCACGUAUGGCACGUGUGACGCGUACAUACGUGUGACGUGUACAUACGUGUGAAAGCUCUUUUGAGGCUAGAACUGGGAUGGUCACACGUACACACGUGUGGGAGUAGUGUGUGUCGCACGCGUGACGCGUACACACGUAUGAAGGCUCUUUUGAGGCUAGAACCGAGAGGGAUCCGGCUAGAAUGGGGAGGGAACUGUUAGAACCGGGAGGGAAUCAGACAAAACCGGGUGGGAACCGAUGGUUCUCCCCUAGAACCGGGCAGUUCCCGGUUUUGUGCUGGAAUCGGCACCGGCUGUGCCCAAUGGUUUAAAAAGGCUGAUCGGUGACCCCGAUCGGGCACCUCAAAAACUGAUCUGGAUCGACGAAUUGACGAUCCGAAUCGGGAAUCAGUCAGAUUAAAGCUUCAAAAAAAUCCGAAAAAAUUAUUAAAAUUCAUUACAAAUAUUGUUUUUUAAGAAUUCAAUAAGAAAUGAGGGCACUCCAUUAAGAAUUUUCAUUUCUUUGCAUGAAUAUGCAAAUAUUGAUAUGUUCUUUCCCUGCAUGAACUACUAUUUACCAUUUAAUUUACAUCACACAAAAGGAUAAACAUAGAAUUAUCAUGGAAUAAGUAUAUCAACAUACAUGGACUACAAUAAAGCAUACAAUUAGUAACAUACAAUCUAAAAAUAAAAUAACAAACGACGUCGUUUUUCUUCUUGGUCACGCUGAUACUAUUGAUUGAAUUCGUUUGACAAGAUAAUAUAAUUGUCAUACAUGCCACGAUUUUUUUACAAUGAUAUUCACUUUAAUUCUUCACGAUAGUACAAUUUAACAACAUGUGUUUUUUGCGUUCAAAAUUUUAAAAAUUGAAAAUACAUUUUUAAUGCAAAACUACAUUAAAAAUAUAAUACAGUUUUGCAUUAGAAAUAUAAUAACAUGUAUGUUUUUGCAUAAAUAUUCUAUCAACAUGAAAUUUUUUCAACAAAAAUUUUAACAAUAAAAAUUAAAAAUAUGGUUUAAUACCUCAUGAUCAUCAAAACCUGGUCACCAUUUUCACAUCUUUUCGGAAAAUCACGAUUUUUCAAAAAAAAUCGAUCAUGUACUUAAAAAAAAAAACAAUUCUUCACAGAGCCACCUAGC
Molecule: long non-coding RNA, 1373 nt
Filed under: Amborella trichopoda
Lineage: Eukaryota; Viridiplantae; Streptophyta; Magnoliopsida; Amborellales; Amborellaceae
Description: long non-coding RNA (ATRI_LNC004481)
Source: RNAcentral